GGUUGACCUCGGAUCAGGUAGGGAUACCCGCUGAACUUAAGCAUAUCAAUAGGCGGAGG
RNAcentral lists this ribosomal RNA (59 nucleotides) under Aspergillus terreus. Its description in RNAcentral is "partial 28S ribosomal RNA". Lineage: Eukaryota; Fungi; Ascomycota; Eurotiomycetes; Eurotiales; Aspergillaceae. The record is from RNAcentral.